CCGAGUGAGGGGCCUCUGGUCCGACCUCCAACCCUUUGUGGACCGACACCCGUUGCCUCGGGGGCGACCCGGACGCCGACGCGUCGGCGUCGGGCACCCCGACGGACCAUUUCAACUCUGUAUCUGUACGUCGGAGUGAUUAGCGAAUCGAUCA
This 154-nucleotide unclassified non-coding RNA is filed under the name uncultured Dothideomycetes. RNAcentral describes it as "sequence contains ITS1". Lineage: Eukaryota; Fungi; Ascomycota; Dothideomycetes. The record is from RNAcentral.